UUGCACUUAUAUUGUGACGGUUUAGGUCAGAAAGUUAAUCUUUAGAAGUCAUCAAUUUACUUUGGUAAAAAGUGUUUUGAUGAUACUAAGCACAAGGUAAUGGGAAUGUUGGGAGUUGCAAAUGAAUCAUUCCAUGAUAAGUAUCUCGGAAUGCCUACUCAUGUCGGCAGGUCGCCAAAUAGGACAUUCAAAUUUCUGAAUGACAAAGUUUGGCAGCGCAUCAUUAGCUUGUCAGAUAGGCCUCCUUCUCGGGCAGGAAAAGAAGUUUUGGUGAAAUCUGUGAUUCAGGCUAUUCCAACAUAUAUAAUGAGUUGUUUCUGA
This 321-nucleotide ribosomal RNA is filed under the name Triticum aestivum (bread wheat). RNAcentral's name for it is "partial small subunit ribosomal RNA". The record is from RNAcentral. Lineage: Eukaryota; Viridiplantae; Streptophyta; Magnoliopsida; Poales; Poaceae.